This 350-nucleotide ribosomal RNA is filed under the name uncultured bacterium. Its description in RNAcentral is "bacterial SSU rRNA". It matches the Rfam family "Bacterial small subunit ribosomal RNA", at positions 790 to 1154 of the family's 1533-position model. The record is from RNAcentral.
GUAGUCCACGCCGUAAACGAUGCUCACUAGAUGUGGGGGGUAUCGACCCCCUCCGCGUCGAAGCUAACGCAUUAAGUGAGCCGCCUGGGGAGUACGGCCGCAAGGCUAAAACUCAAAGGAAUUGACGGGGGCCCGCACAAGCAGCGGAGCGUGUGGUUUAAUUCGAUGCAACGCGAAGAACCUUACCUGGGCUUGAACGUGCAGUGACAGCCGGUGAAAGCCGGUCUCCCUUCGGGGCACUGUGCGAGGUGAUGCACGGCUGUCGUCAGCUCGUGCCGUGAGGUGUUGGGUUAAGUCCCGCAACGAGCGCAACCCUUGUCGCUAGUUGUAUUUCUCUAGCGAGACUGCCC